This 404-nucleotide unclassified non-coding RNA is filed under the name soil metagenome. RNAcentral describes it as "partial contains 5.8S ribosomal RNA, internal transcribed spacer 2, and large subunit ribosomal RNA". The stretch from base 1 to 122 matches the Rfam family "5.8S ribosomal RNA", at positions 35 to 154 of the family's 154-position model. The record is from RNAcentral.
GAUGAAGAACGUAGCAAAAUGCGAUACUUGGUGUGAAUUGCAGAAUCCCGUGAACCAUCGAGUUUUUGAACGCAAGUUGCGCCCGAAGCCUUUUGGCCGAGGGCACGUCUGCCUGGGCGUCACGCAUCGCGUCGCCCCCCACAAUUCUCCGUAAAAGGAACAUGUGUUUUGGGGGCGGAUAUUGGUCUCCCGUGCUCAUGGCGUGGUUGGCCGAAAUAGGAGUCCUUUCGAUGGACGCACGAACUAGUGGUGGUCGUAAAAACCCUCGUCUUUUGUUUCGUGCUGUUGCUCGCAAGGUAAAUUCUUUAAAAACCCCAAUGUGUCGUCUCUUGACGACGCUUCGACCGCGACCCCAGGUCAGGCGGGACUACCCGCUGAGUUUAAGCAUAUCAAUAAGCGGAGGA